UACGUAGGGUGCGAGCGUUAAUCGGAAUUACUGGGCGUAAAGCGUGCGCAGGCGGAUGUUUAAGCAAGAUGUGAAAUCCCCGGGCUUAACCUGGGAAUGGCAUUUUGAACUGGACGUCUAGAGUGCGGCAGAGGGAGGUGGAAUUCCACGUGUAGCAGUGAAAUGCGUAGAGAUGUGGAGGAACACCGAUGGCGAAGGCAGCCUCCUGGGCUGACACUGACGCUCAUGAACGAAAGCGUGGGGAGCAAACAGG
RNAcentral lists this ribosomal RNA (253 nucleotides) under uncultured bacterium. Its description in RNAcentral is "partial 16S ribosomal RNA". It matches the Rfam family "Bacterial small subunit ribosomal RNA", at positions 524 to 776 of the family's 1533-position model. The record is from RNAcentral.